This 420-nucleotide ribosomal RNA is filed under the name Phaeocystis sp. JD-2012. RNAcentral's name for it is "eukaryotic LSU rRNA". It matches the Rfam family "Eukaryotic large subunit ribosomal RNA", at positions 416 to 1007 of the family's 3401-position model. Lineage: Eukaryota; Haptophyta; Phaeocystales; Phaeocystaceae. The record is from RNAcentral.
AAGACGGUUGCGGGUAGGGCUUCGGCGUCACCCGUGAUGAUGCGUCGCGCGGGAUCUCGGCUGAUGCGCACGGGCGCAACCGACCCGUCUAGAAACACGGACCAAGGAGUCUGACGCGUGUGCGAGUACYAGAGUGGCAAGCUCGAGUGCGCAAUGAAAGUGAAGGGCGUGCCCCGUCAACCGAYCUUGAUCUUCUGUGAAGGGUUUGAGUCGAGCACAUCUGUCGGGACCCGAAAGAUGGUGAACUAUGCCUGAGGAGGGUGAAGCCAGAGGAAACUCUGGUGGAGGCUCGUAGCGAUACUGACGUGCAAAUCGUUCGUCGAACUUGGGUAUAGGGGCGAAAGACUAAUCGAACCAUCUAGUAGCUGGUUCCCUCCGAAGUUUCCCUCACGAUAGCUUGAACGCCGACGGUUUUGUCAG